RNAcentral lists this ribosomal RNA (468 nucleotides) under uncultured bacterium. RNAcentral's name for it is "partial 16S ribosomal RNA". It matches the Rfam family "Bacterial small subunit ribosomal RNA", at positions 28 to 507 of the family's 1533-position model. The record is from RNAcentral.
GACGAACGCUGGCGGCGUGCUUAACACAUGCAAGUCGAACGGAAAGGCCCUGCUUUUGUGUGUUGCUCGAGUGGCGAACGGGUGAGUAACACAUGAGUAACCUGCCCUUGACUUUGGGAUAACUUCAGGAAACUGGGGCUAAUACCUGAUAUGAUCUCCUGCUGCAUGGUGGUGGUUGGAAAGUUUCGGCGUUUGGGUAUGGACUCGCGGCUUAUCAGCUUGUUGGUGGGGUAGUGGCUUACCAAGGCUUUGACGGGUAGCCGGCCUGAGAGGGUGACCGGCUACAUUGGGACUGAGAUACGGACCAGAAUCCUACGGGAGGCAGCAGUGGGGAAUAUUGCACAAUGGGCGGAAGCCUGAUGCAGCAACGCCGCGUGCGGGAUGACGGCCUUCGGGUUGUAAACCGCUUUCGACUGUGACGAAGCGUGAGUGACGGUAAUGGGUAAAGAAGCACCGGCUAACUACGUG